GGCCCGGUAGCUCAGUGGUUAGAGCGUUGGUUUAAAAAGCCAGAGGACCGGGGUUCGAUUCACCGGCCGGGUGG
Molecule: non-coding RNA, 74 nt
Organism: Portunus trituberculatus (swimming crab)
Lineage: Eukaryota; Metazoa; Arthropoda; Malacostraca; Decapoda; Portunidae
Source: the annotation of a RefSeq genome assembly